Molecule: long non-coding RNA, 1897 nt
Organism: Gallus gallus (chicken)
Lineage: Eukaryota; Metazoa; Chordata; Aves; Galliformes; Phasianidae
Source: Ensembl
CCCCGGGGCCGUCCCCGCCGCGGCGGGCGGUGGAGGGGGCGAGCGGCCGCCUUUCUUCCCUUCUCGCUCCGCUCCGCCGCGGCCAGUAGGAGCCCCGCACCGCUCGGACCGGGACCUUCGCGGAGCGGGCUGAGAUGAUGCUGCUCUGUAGCGCGCCCAAAGUGGCUCCGGGAGCGGGCAGAGGAAACCAAAUCUUAGUCGAAUCCUCUGCUCAGCUAAUGAGAAGAGCACCGCACAGCCCCGCACACAGGGACUGCUCUCACACCACGCUGAUAGCAGCUCCUUGUGAGAAAGUUGCAAAGAAAACAACCCACCAGGACCUGCCAGAGCGCUGCCUUCUCCUUUUCAAUACAUUAAUUCUGCAACGAUCAAAUAUUUUUGUGCUGCUCAACCUCCAGUUGAUAAAUUAAUGCCACUGGGAUUAAAUUCAACAUGUAAACCGGUGUCAGCCAUAGAUGGAUACUCUGGGGGUAAGACAGAUAGCGAGUUGUUUUAAAUGCAUGGAUUUAAAAGGGAAAACAGUAACAAAGGAACAGGUGAUGAGAAGAAGCAAGCUUUAAAUCCUCUGUGUAUGGUUCUUUAAGAAAAGCUUUCCAUGAAUAAUGCCCUUAUAAAUUCUUUCAUCUGCGCAGAAAAUAAAUGCAGCCACAAUAUUUCUGAGCUCAACUGUCAAUUGCACAUCCAUCCCAUACAGAAGGGCCUCCAAUGCAAACAUCCAUAACCCAAUGCUUCUACCUGUGCCUUUGGUGCUCAGCCUGUUUCUUUUGCUGUCUCAAGGCUCAGGCUGUGCUGUUGGGUCUCCUAAAGACCAAAUUCAGUGGAGCUGCUGAAGAAAGGUACCAUGUCACAUUAAUUUAUGGAGCAGGGUUGCUUUCACUGAUAGGCUCAGCAUGUUUUAUUGCUCAUCAUCAACAGCGUUACACUAAUGGCUGGAAACCUUUAGCUCCACAUUGUUUAAUCUGUCAGAUUACCCAGAUGUAUAAAAUUAGUCAUGCACAUUUUCAGGAUCAAAAUGUAAUAUCGAGCUAUUACUACAGCUUCUCUCAUAAUGCAUGCCCCACUCUGUGACCCAGGUAGGCUGAUCCCUAUUUAUUUCACUUGAAGACCUCAAAAUGGAUCUUUAAAUCCGCCUCUGUGGGUUUCCUACAUUUCUUAUUUCACCCUUCUAAUUCAAUCUAAAGUCAAAACAAAACUACAGGGUUGGGCUCAUGUGUCCAACUCAUGGAAGAUGGAGACCAAAACAGUACCCUACAGUCCUUUAAACUACCACAGAAUGAUUUUACCAUUAUUCUCAGCAGUAGAAGAUACCUAAAUCUGUAUUUACUAAUACGUGUGUGAGAAAGCAGAACUAUACAGGUUGAGGAAAUCUAAAUUCAACAGAAAGCUCAGGAACAGGAAUGGGAUGGGAGGCUCAGAGCAAUACCUUGGUGUGUUCUCGAGAUGUCACCUUGUCCCUUCAUGCUCCACACCGUGACUGUGCCGUUCUUAAUUCAAUCCUGAAGAUCCUUGGUAAUGAACAUUCAGCAACUCAGAAAGCGAUGUACUUCCUAUUGUUUAGAGAGUUUAUCUUCUAAUGUGAGCCUUUCUUAUGUCUUUUAAGCUCUUUUCCAUCUGUUCCAUCCCUUAGGUACAGAGAACAGUUGUUUCAUUCCCAUUUGCAAGAUUCUUUAAUGAAAAGAAAACAAGUUAUCAUGUCAUCCUUUUUCCUGUCCCUUCCCUGAAAAGUAUUCCUUUCUCCUUUAUGCAAUUAAAAAAUUCCCUCACGUUUUCUCCAUUUCUGAUCGUUGCCAUUAUUCUGUUCUUUGCUGAAGAUUCUCUCCCAUCUUCUUUUGAAACACGGUGACCAAACCAGGAAAUAAUACAUCCAUCACAGGCUCUGACAACGCUGAUAAAGGGG